RNAcentral lists this microRNA precursor (153 nucleotides) under Oryza sativa Indica Group (long-grained rice). RNAcentral describes it as "mir-166 microRNA precursor". Lineage: Eukaryota; Viridiplantae; Streptophyta; Magnoliopsida; Poales; Poaceae. The record is from RNAcentral. RNAcentral also lists the same sequence under 1 other name.
AUUAUAUAAUUUUCUUGAGAUAUUGCUCAAAUUAAGUAUGCCAUUUUGUUUUCUGAUGGUUAUUGGAUAAUUCUUUUUUUUCAUUAGGCAGAUACUUGAAUUGGCUUUUUAUUUUUUACUCGAGAAUUGACAUUUUCGGAGAAACUUGCUAAU